AUAAGGUCAAGGUAAUAAGAGCGUACGGUGGAUGCCUUGGCGCCAAGAGUCGAAGAAGGACGUGGUAAGCUGCGAAAAGCUUCGGGGAGCCGCAAGCAGGCGUUGAACCGGAGAUGUCCGAAUGGGGAAACCCGGAUGGAGUAAUAUCCAUUCAUCCUGUAUUGAACACAUAGAUACAGAGAAGACAACCUGGGGAACUGAAACAUCUAAGUACCCAGAGGAAGAGAAAGAAAACUCGAUUCCCUGAGUAGCGGCGAGCGAAACGGGAAGAGCCUAAACCAGCGUCUUCGGAUGCUGGGGUUGCGGGACUCACAUCAAAAGGAUGAAAGCCUAGCCGAAGAGGUCUGGAAAGGCCCAUCACAGAGGGUAACAAUCCUGUAGGCGAAAGGCAGAAAUACUUGUGAGGAUCCCAAGUACCGCGGGACACGAGAAACCCCGUGGGAAUCCGGGGGGACCACCCCCCAAGGCUAAAUACUCCUUGGCGACCGAUAGUGAACCAGUACCGUGAGGGAAAGGUGAAAAGAACCCCGGGAGGGGAGUGAAAAAGAACCUGAAACCGUAUGCUUACAAACAGUCAGAGCACUUUUAAUGUGUGAUGGCGUACCUUUUGUAGAAUGGACCGGCGAGUUACGGUAACGAGCGAGGUUAAGUCGAAAAGACGGAGCCGGAGCGAAAGCGAGUCUUAAAAGGGCGAAUAGUUCGUUGUCGUAGACCCGAAACUUGGUGAUCUACCCAUGGUCAGGGUGAAGCUUAGGUAAGACUGAGUGGAGGCCCGAACUGACCGGCGUUGAAAAGCCGGCGGAUGAACUGUGGGUAGGGGUGAAAUGCCAAUCGAACCAAGAGAUAGCUGGUUCUCCCCGAAAUAGCUUUAGGGCUAGCCUCAAUUGAUGAUUCAUGGCGGUAGAGCACUGUUAGGGCUAGGGGCCUAACCAGGUUACUGAACUCUCACAAACUGCGAAUGCCAUGAAUUUAAGUUGGGAGUCAGACUGCGGGGGAUAAGCUUCGUAGUCGAAAGGGAAACAGCCCAGACCGACAGCUAAGGUCCCAAAGUAAGUGCUAAGUGGAAAAGGAUGUAGAGUUGCUAAAACAACCAGGAUGUUGGCUUAGAAGCAGCCACCAUUCAAAGAGUGCGUAAUAGCUCACUGGUCGAGUGACUCUGCGCCGAAAAUGUAACGGGGCUCAAGCACAACACCGAAGCUUCGGAUUCAAGAGGCAAGAUGCUAGAGGCAAGAAACAAGAGGUGAAAGAAUGAUUACAAGUUACAAAGACUUGGAAGUAUAUCAAAGGUCGUAUAAAGCGGCACUGAUGAUACAUGAAAUCACCUUAAAAUUUCCUGAUUAUGAGAGAUAUGAACUAGGAAGCCAGAUCAGAAAAGCAACAAAAUCCAUACCACUAAACAUAGGGGAAGGAUAUGGAAAGAAGAACUCGACAGAAGAGUUUAAGCGCUUUUUACAAAUGGCAAUUGGUUCAUGUGACGAGGUCAAGAUAUUGAUUGAAUUUGCCAAAGACUUAGGAUAUAUAACAGGAAACGAAUAUUUGGUAUUAACAGAUGAAUAUGACCAAAUAGGAAAGAUGUUAUAUAUGCUGCACAAGAAAUGGCAAAAGAAAUAAUCUUGCAUCUUGUUUCUAGCUUCUUGCUUCUUGAAUGGUAGGGGAGCGUACUCAACAGGACGAAGCAUGACCGGAAGGACAUGUGGACAGUUGAGCAGAGAGAAUGCCGGUAUAAGUAAGCGAAAAGGCAGGCGAGAAUCCUGCCCGCCGAAAGCCUAAGGUUUCCUGGGGAAGGCUCGUCCGCCCAGGGUAAGUCAGGACCUAAGUCGAGGCGAAGAGCGUAGAUGAUGGACAAUCGGUUAAAAAUCCGAUACCACCUGAACCCGUAUGAAGGAAGGGGUGACACAGGAGGGUAGGCACAGCGCACCGUUGGUCGAGUGCGUCCAAGCCGGUAGGGAGAAUAGUAGGAAAAACCGCUAUUCAAAAUCCCGAGAGGUGACGGGGAGCGAAACUAAGUAGCGAACUGGCUGAUCCCACACUGUCAAGAAAAGCCUCUAACGAGGGUUUGGGUGCCUGUACCGCAAACCGACACAGGUAGGUGGGGUGAGAAUCCUAAGGCGCGCGAGAGAACCCUCGUUAAGGAACUCGGCAAAAUGACCCCGUAACUUCGGGAGAAGGGGUACCUCGGUAAUGUGAAAGUAAACAACUGGAGCAAGAAGAGGUCGCAGAGAAAAGGCCCAAGCGACUGUUUAACAAAAACACAGGUGCCUGCAAAGUCGAAAGACGACGUAUAGGUGCUGACGCCUGCCCGGUGCUGGAAGGUUAAGGGGAUUGCUUAGCGCAAGCGAAGGUGAGAACCGAAGCCCCAGUAAACGGCGGCCGUAACUAUAACGGUCCUAAGGUAGCGAAAUUCCUUGUCGGGUAAGUUCCGACCCGCACGAAAGGCGUAACGAUUUGGGCACUGUCUCAACGAGGGACUCGGCGAAAUUGUAAUACCGGUGAAGAUGCCGGUUACCUGCGACAGGACAGAAAGACCCCGUGGAGCUUUACUGUAGCCUGACAUUGGAUUUUGGUAUAUCAUGUACAGGAUAGGUGGGAGACUUGGAAUCUGGUACGCCAGUAUCAGAGGAGUCACCGGUGGGAUACCACUCUUGAUGUGCUGAAGUUCUAACUUUAAACCGUAAGCCGGUUAAAGGACAGUGUCAGGUGGGCAGUUUGACUGGGGCGGUCGCCUCCCAAAGAGUAACGGAGGCGCCCAAAGGUUUCCUCAGCGCGGAUGGAAAUCGCGCGAAGAGUGUAAAGGCAGAAGGGAGCUUGACUGCGAGAGAGACAUCUCGAGCAGGGACGAAAGUCGGGCUUAGUGAUCCGGCGGUACCGAGUGGAAGGGCCGUCGCUCAACGGAUAAAAGCUACCCCGGGGAUAACAGGCUUAUCUCCCCCAAGAGUCCACAUCGACGGGGAGGUUUGGCACCUCGAUGUCGGCUCAUCGCAUCCUGGGGCUGUAGUAGGUCCCAAGGGUUGGGCUGUUCGCCCAUUAAAGCGGUACGUGAGCUGGGUUCAGAACGUCGUGAGACAGUUCGGUCCCUAUCCGUCGCAGGCGUAGGAAAUUUGAGAGGAACUGUCCCUAGUACGAGAGGACCGGGAUGGACAGACCUCUGGUGUACCAGUUAUCCUGCCAAGGGUACAGCUGGGUAGCUAAGUCUGGAAGGGAUAAGCGCUGAAAGCAUCUAAGCGCGAAGCCGGCCUCAAGAUAAGAUUUCCCACAGCGCAAGCUGGUAAGACCCCAGAGAGACGAUCUGGUUGAUAGGCCGGAUGUGGAAGGGCAGCAAUGUCCGGAGCUGACCGGUACUAAUUGGUCGAGGACUUGACCUUA
Molecule: ribosomal RNA, 3363 nt
Filed under: Candidatus Formimonas warabiya
Lineage: Bacteria; Bacillati; Bacillota; Clostridia; Eubacteriales; Peptococcaceae
Description: Peptococcaceae bacterium DCMF 23S ribosomal RNA
Rfam family: Bacterial large subunit ribosomal RNA
Source: RNAcentral